RNAcentral lists this ribosomal RNA (447 nucleotides) under uncultured bacterium. RNAcentral's name for it is "bacterial SSU rRNA". It matches the Rfam family "Bacterial small subunit ribosomal RNA", at positions 330 to 793 of the family's 1533-position model. The record is from RNAcentral.
CCCAGACUCCUACGGGAGGCAGCAGUCGGGAAUAUUGCACAAUGGAGGAAACUCUGAUGCAGUGACACCGCGUAUAGGAAGAAGGUUUUCGGAUUGUAAACUAUUUUAGACAGGGAAGAAAAAAGACAGUACCUGUAGAAUAAGCUCCGGCUAACUACGUGCCAGCAGCCGCGGUAAUACGUAGGGGGCAAGCGUUAUCCGGAUUUACUGGGUGUAAAGGGAGCGUAGGCGGCUGUGUAAGCCAGAAGUGAAAGCCCGGGGCUCAACUCCGGGACUGCUUUUGGAACUACAUGGCUUGAUUGCAGGAGAGGCAAGUGGAAUUCCUAGUGUAGCGGUGAAAUACGUAGAUAUUAGGAGGAACACCAGUGGCGAAGGCGGCUUGCUGGACUGUAAAUGACGCUGAGGCUCGAAAGCGUGGGGAGCAAACAGGAUUAGAUACCCUCGUAC